AAGAAAUCCAGAUGGUUUACUUAGGUCUGUAUGAUUUCUUAAUUUCUUCUGUUAAAUAUGUAAUGACUUCUGUAAGAAUUUCCUACACAUUGAAGCUCUUUUCAAAUGCCUGUUCAAAAAAUUUGUGAACUUCUGAGUCAGAUUUGUCUUUACCUUUGCAUUUGCAUUAGCACUUUUCUGAGUUGUUCUUCAUCCAAUGAAACAAAAAUUCAUGGCAACAUUUCUUUUAGUGAGUGCUGAAAUGAUGAUAGGCUGUCUCUUUGUCCUUUCUUUUUCUUUUAUUUUUUUU
This 289-nucleotide unclassified non-coding RNA is filed under the name Hevea brasiliensis (rubber tree). Lineage: Eukaryota; Viridiplantae; Streptophyta; Magnoliopsida; Malpighiales; Euphorbiaceae. The record is from RNAcentral.